AACGCGAAGAACCUUACCAACCUUUGACAUGUCCAGUAUGGGUUUAGGAGACUAGAUCCUUCAGUUCGGCUGGCUGGAACACAGGUGCUGCAUGGCUGUCGUCAGCUCGUGUCGUGAGAUGUUGGGUUAAGUCCCGCAACGAGCGCAACCCUCAUCUUCAGUUGCCACCGGGUUAGGCCGGGCACUCUGAAGAAACCGCCGGUGACAAGCCGGAGGAAGGCGGGGAUGACGUCAAGUCCUCAUGGCCCUUACAGGUUGGGCUACACACGUACUACAAUGGUGGUGACAGUGGGCUGCGAAGUCGCGAGACGGAGCCAAUCCCCAAAAGCCAUCUCAGUUCAGAUUGCACUCUGCAACUCGAGUGCAUGAAGUUGGAAUCGCUAGUAAUCGCAGAUCAGCACGCUGCGGUGAAUACGUUCCCGGGCCUUGUACACACCGAGACGUA
This 445-nucleotide ribosomal RNA is filed under the name uncultured bacterium. Its description in RNAcentral is "bacterial SSU rRNA". It matches the Rfam family "Bacterial small subunit ribosomal RNA", at positions 958 to 1398 of the family's 1533-position model. The record is from RNAcentral.